UUCUGUAAGGGCACCAGGUGCAGGGCCAACACCCUGGUGGCUGGAAAACCACAAGCAGCAGGCAGGGGUGGCUUUGCUUCUAGCUGCUCCGUGAGGAGGUUGGUGUGCUGCCCGGCCUGGGAUGACUGCACUCCCAAGACCGCAGGCUUCUCCUCGGGGAGCGCUUCAGCACUAAAUAAACCAGAUUUUAUUUAUUUAUUUGACAAAGAGAGAUCACAAGUAGGCAGAGAAGCAGGCAGAGAGAGAGGAAGGGAAGCAGGCUCCCUGCUGAGCAGAGAGCCCGGAUGCGGGACUCCAGCCCAGGACCCUGAGAUCAUGACCUGAGCUGAAGGCAGCGGCUUAACCCACUGAGCCACCCAGGCGCCCGAUGCUCACUGUUCUUUAGCACAGCACACUCUUUUUGGCCAGAUCCUGACUUCUUGAUCAUAGUUCGAUAUCUGAUGCCAUCACAUCUUCUGGGAAGGCAUACCCAAGUAUCGACAUGGUCUCCAGGAAGUUGCAAAGGCUGUACAGGGAGGUCCAUGCACCGUUCACCCAUUUUCCCCUAUGGUUGCACCUUGCCUUACCCCAGAGCAACAGCAAACGGGCGACUGAGAUUGUGGACAUGUGGAUAUAGUUCCAUGUGAGCGUGUCACACAUGUGGCUUUCUGAAACCACCACCUCAAUCAAGACAUAGAACUAUUGUCAUGACAAAGAUCACUCUUGUCCUAACUCUUCACCCCCGCACCAUACAAAACACAGUUUGCAUUUCUGUACCUGUAGGCACUCUUGUCCUAGCCCUUCCCUGCCCACCCCCGCACCACCAUCCCUGACUCCUGGCAACUGUUAGUACAUUCUCUGUCUCUAUACUUCCAGCAUUUCAAGAAUGUUGUAUAAAUAGAAUCAUACCGUAUGUGAAGCUAUUAACAUUUAAUGUCAUUAUUGCUAUGUUAGAGCUUAAAUCUGCAAUUUCGUUUUCAGUUCACUACUUGUUCCCUCUGUUUUUCAUUUCUGUUUUCUUUUGCCUGCCUUCCCAAGGGUUGCUUGAACAUUUAUCUGUAGUGUUUUUGAUUGUAUCUCUCUCUCUCUCUCAGAAAGAGAGAGAGAGAGAAGAAGA
Mustela lutreola (European mink) is the source of this 1096-nucleotide long non-coding RNA. RefSeq lists it as uncharacterized. Lineage: Eukaryota; Metazoa; Chordata; Mammalia; Carnivora; Mustelidae. The transcript is spliced from 4 exons. The record is from RefSeq and is a predicted model, not a curated record.